Molecule: small RNA, 1051 nt
Filed under: uncultured Pelagibacterales bacterium
Lineage: Bacteria; Pseudomonadati; Pseudomonadota; Alphaproteobacteria; Candidatus Pelagibacterales
Description: bacterial SSU rRNA
Rfam family: Bacterial small subunit ribosomal RNA (bases 1-668)
Source: RNAcentral
CACCGCCUGGGGAGUACGACCGCAAGGUUAAAACUCAAAUGAAUUGACGGGGACCCGCACAAGCAGUGGAGCAUGUGGUUUAAUUCGAAGAUACGCGCAGAACCUUACCAACUCUUGACAUGUUCGUCGCGAGCCUAAGAGAUUAGGCUCUUCAGUUUGGCUGGACGAAACACAGGUGCUGCAUGGCUGUCGUCAGCUCGUGUCGUGAGAUGUUGGGUUAAGUCCCGCAACGAGCGCAACCCUUACUUUUAGUUGCCAUCAUUUAGUUGGGCACUUUAAAAGAACUGCCAGUGAUAAGCUGGAGGAAGGUGGGGAUGACGUCAAGUCCUCAUGGCCCUUACGAGUUGGGCUACACACGUGCUACAAUGGCACUUACAAUGAGAAGCGAAGAGGCAACUCCUAGCAAAUCUCAAAAAUGUGCCUCAGUUCGGAUUGUACUCUGCAACUCGAGUACAUGAAGCUGGAAUUGCUAGUAAUCGCGGAUCAGCGCGCCGCGGUGAAUACGUUCCCGGGUCUCGUACACACCGCCCGUCACACCAUGGAAGUUGGUUACACCUUAAGGCAAAUUGUUAACCUUCGGGAAACAUUUGACUACGGUACGAUCAGCGACUGGGGUGAAGUCGUAACAAGGUAGCCGUAGGGGAACCUGCGGCUGGAUCACCUCCUUUCUAAAGGAAAUCGUAAAUAUUAUUUACGAUUUAAAAAAAAUCGGUAAUGUAUCCGUCCUCAUUUCUCUUCUUUAAUGUCUCUGUAAGAUGCAUAGGGGCCGGUAGCUCAGGUGGUUAGAGCGCACCCCUGAUAAGGGUGAGGUCGGACGUUCGAGUCGUCCUCGGCCCACCAUUUAUAAAAGGGGGAUUAGCUCAGCUGGGAGAGCGCCUGAUUUGCAUUCAGGAGGUCAGCGGUUCGAUCCCGCUAUCCUCCACCAAAACUUUGACAUUUAGCUUUUUUAAAUUGUGAAUAUUAUUAUCAAUAUCUAUAUCCGAUUGUUUUCAAAUAUUUUUAUGAAAACAAUCAAAACAAAAAUUUGAAUUUUACACAGAAUUUUUUUCUG